AACCAUAAACUCCAAUAAUAAAAAUGUAAGCAAACAAAAAUCAUGAAGAAACAUUCAAAACCACAACAAAAUUGAACUACCAGGCCCAGAAAAAACACAACAUAAAAUAUUAUUUACAAAAUUUAAGGUAAAUUGACAAAAUAACAAAGUGAAUAAACUAAAAUAAAUAAGUAAAAACAAAAACAGUAACAUCUUAGUUUAAAAAUUAACAAAAAAAUAAAUAAAAGAAAUUAUAUGCAUGAAAGUGGGAAACGUGAAAAC
This 261-nucleotide long non-coding RNA is filed under the name Lathyrus oleraceus (garden pea). RNAcentral describes it as "Pisum sativum (pea) long non-coding RNA (PSAT_LNC031970)". Lineage: Eukaryota; Viridiplantae; Streptophyta; Magnoliopsida; Fabales; Fabaceae. The record is from RNAcentral.